UGGAGCUGAAAUCAGUCGAAGAUACCAGCUGGCUGCAACUGUUUAUUAAAAACACAGCACUGUGCAAACACGAAAGUGGACGUAUACGGUGUGACGCCUGCCCGGUGCCGGAAGGUUAAUUGAUGGGGUUAUCCGUAAGGAGAAGCUCUUGAUCGAAGCCCCGGUAAACGGCGGCCGUAACUAUAACGGUCCUAAGGUAGCGAAAUUCCUUGUCGGGUAAGUUCCGACCUGCACGAAUGGCGUAAUGAUGGCCAGGCUGUCUCCACCCGAGACUCAGUGAAAUUGAACUCGCUGUGAAGAUGCAGUGUACCCGCGGCAAGACGGAAAGACCCCGUGAACCUUUACUAUAGCUUGACACUGAACACUGGUCCUUGAUGUGUAGGAUAGGUGGGAGGCUUUGAAGUGUGGACGCCAGUCUGCAUGGAGCCAUCCUUGAAAUACCACCCUUUAAUGGCUGGUGUUCUAACGUGGACCCGUGAUCCGGGUUGCGGACAGUGUCUGGUGGGUAGUUUGACUGGGGCGGUCUCCUCCUAAAGAGUAACGGAGGAGCACGAAGGUUAGCUAAUCCUGGUCGGACAUCAGGAGGUUAGUGCAAAGGCAUAAGCUAGCUUGACUGCGAGAGUGACGGCUCGAGCAGGUGCGAAAGCAGGUCUUAGUGAUCCGGUGGUUCUGAAUGGAAGGGCCAUCGCUCAACGGAUAAAAGGUACUCCGGGGAUAACAGGCUGAUACCGCCCAAGAGUUCAUAUCGACGGCGGUGUUUGGCACCUCGAUGUCGGCUCAUCACAUCCUGGGGCUGAAGUAGGUCCCAAGGGUAUGGCUGUUCGCCAUUUAAAGUGGUACGCGAGCUGGGUUUAGAACGUCGUGAGACAGUUCGGUCCCUAUCUGCCGUGGGCGCUGGAGAAUUGAGGGGGGCUGCUCCUAGUACGAGAGGACCGGAGUGGACGCAUCACUGGUGUUCGGGUUGUCAUGCCAAUGGCAUUGCCCGGUAGCUAAAUGCGGAAGAGAUAAGUGCUGAAAGCAUCUAAGCACGAAACUUGCCCCGAGAUGAGUUCUCCCUGAGACUAUAAGUCUCCUGAAGGAACGUUGAAGACGACGACGUUGAUAGGUCGGGUGUGUAAGUGUAGCGAUACAUUGAGCUAACCGAU
This 1145-nucleotide ribosomal RNA is filed under the name Citrobacter freundii. Its description in RNAcentral is "bacterial LSU rRNA". It matches the Rfam family "Bacterial large subunit ribosomal RNA", at positions 1762 to 2899 of the family's 2925-position model. Lineage: Bacteria; Pseudomonadati; Pseudomonadota; Gammaproteobacteria; Enterobacterales; Enterobacteriaceae. The record is from RNAcentral.